GACGAACGCUGGCGGCGUGCUUAACACAUGCAAGUCGAACGGAAAGGCCCUGCUUUUGUGGGGUGCUCGAGUGGCGAACGGGUGAGUAACACGUGAGUAACCUGCCCUUGACUUUGGGAUAACUUCAGGAAACUGGGGCUAAUACCGGAUAGGAGCUCCUGCUGCAUGGUGGGGGUUGGAAAGUUUCGGCGGUUGGGGAUGGACUCGCGGCUUAUCCGCUUGUUGGUGGGGUAGUGGCUUACCAAGGCUUUGACGGGUAGCCGGCCUGAGAGGGUGGCCGGCCACAUUGGGACUGAGAUACGGCCCAGACGCCUACGGGAGGCAGCAGUGGGGAAUAUUGCACAAUGGGCGGAAGCCUGAUGCAGCAACGCCGCGUGCGGGAUGACGGCCUUCGGGUUGUAAACCGCUUUCGACUGUGACGAAGCGUGAGUGACGGUAAUGGGUAAAGAAGCACCGGCUAACUACGUG
This 468-nucleotide ribosomal RNA is filed under the name uncultured bacterium. RNAcentral describes it as "partial 16S ribosomal RNA". It matches the Rfam family "Bacterial small subunit ribosomal RNA", at positions 28 to 507 of the family's 1533-position model. The record is from RNAcentral.